This is a long non-coding RNA of Microplitis mediator, 2751 nucleotides long. RefSeq lists it as uncharacterized. NCBI's taxonomy places the organism in Eukaryota, Metazoa, Arthropoda, Insecta, Hymenoptera, Braconidae. The transcript has 3 exons. The record is from RefSeq and is a predicted model, not a curated record.
UUAUACCUGUACACAAUAAAAAAAUCAUUAAUGAAAAAUAAAAACAAUGAAUUAAUUAGUAUCUUUACUAUAUUCGGCUGCGAAUUUAGUUAUGAAAUUAAAAGUGACCCAGUAUUUAUAGAAUAAGAUAAUACUUUUACAAAUUCAUACAAUACUUUUUAAAUGAUUACUCCUGGUUUAUCUAUCGUCAUCAUGAAGAACUUUAAAUUUUAAGUUCAUGAUCUGUGUUUCUUAAACGUCACUUAUAUUACAACUUAUAUUUUAAUAUAUUUAUUAUAAUUAUACUAAAAUUCAACAAUAAUUUUAAACUGUGAAAUUUUAAUACUAAUGUUUAUGAAAAAAAAGCAUGCCCUAUAAACCUAGGGUAGAUUUAAUAGUGUGACAUUUUCUAUAGAACCAUUAAAAAAAAAAAUUAUUUAAUCAAUUAAAAAUCAUAAAAAUAAAACGUAACAAAAUGUUGGUGUGUAUAUAAAUUUUUCUAGUGUAACUCGUACUUUGUUGGCGAACAAAACCGGGCUGACGAUGCUACGUGCUCACGGUUUAUCGUACGGGCCGUGACGUCAUCUGCAGUCUACGACGACACGACACGACGGAAAAUAGUAUGUAUGUAUAGUAUGCCAGCAAGAGAAAAGAACGUCUGGCAACAUCGUGGCGUUAUUCAACGUUGCCAAAUUAUUAUCAGAGAUUUGGUUGCGCAUAAACACCCACACAUAGCAGCAAUAGAAGAAAGAGCCUAUUACACGUAUCACAUACGCCGUUGCCAAUGUUGCCGCGUUAAGAGAAGAAUAAAAGAGCAACAAAUACUCAAGUGUGAAUUGAAGAGAAAUAAAUUGAUGAGUUGAGUCUUUACUAUUAGCUUACGCGCCGGAAAUCAAACUCAUCACUUUCGUUUAUAAUCUUCCCGUUAUAUUUUUAUUGUGUUAUAAAUAUUUUUGAAAAAUUUAUAAAAAGAAAAAAAAAAGGAAUCAAUCAAUUUUAAAAAUUUUUUCCUGAAAUUUGUUUCCUGGAGACUGCAAGACAAAAGAAAUUAAAACAAAAAAAAAUAUUUCUAUGUCACGUCACAGACACAUAUUAUUGUUAUGGAAUUGCUGCAGAGUUGAGACUCGGAGAAAAUCAAUCCGGUUCUUCAUCUACUAACUUUUCGAUGAAAGAGCGCCGAGGUUGUAAUGUGGUACUAACCGCCUGGCAAAAUUCCGCUUGCUUUUCAUUUCCCUCUACUUCUACCAGUCACGGUGAACAAGUGAACGAUGGAAACGACAUCUGACGACUGCACUUUAUCAUGCUCAAUGGGCUUGCAGGCAAACCGUCAAAAGUAUAAAUUUCAGAAGUAUACCAACCUUAGAAAAUCACAGUUUCGAACGUAAAAAAUAAAGAUUGCUCCCUGAUAGAGGAAAGUUAAUGGCCAACAAGCUCUUUCGAUUGCCACCUUAAACAUCCAAAUCGAUUCAUUAGUAUACAUACACUCGGACAUCAUUCUGAAAAUAGUCAGAACAGCUUCCUAGGACCUCAAAACGUCGACAUCUGAUGAAAACUCGAUUUUCGAAAAUCGGGGUGAAAACAAUAACUUCCCGAAUUUUUGAAAAUUUACAAUUUUCUUAGCGGGAAGUUAAAAACUUGAAGAAUGGAAGAUAAGCCGGUUAGAGACCGCAAUAAAACUCGAGCGGUCCAAGCAUCGGGUAACGCAGCAGCUGUUGAGAAAGUCGACCAAGCGGCGAGCAGAAGAUUCAACCUCGAGGGGCAGAAGUAGUGACUGUGACGUCAUGAGGCCCCGACUACGUCCCCACAGCCAGCCAAUAAGGGAAACUUACCCUGCCAUGGUCCCCAAGGGCAACGCCUCUUCAAAACUUAGAGUUGGAAUAAUCUUAAGAUGAAUUUUGUAAGGCAAAAUAAGCCAGAAGCUCGAGUGCGAAUGUCGCAUCUUGUACUAAGCUAAAAUAUAUUUUCCACUUUAAUUGUUCAGAUAAAAAAGUAAACUUUAUUUUUCAUUGAAAAAUCUUUUCCCAAUUUACAAUCGGUAUACCAAAGCUGAGUAUUUAAAUACUCCCGGGCGAAAUAACCCCAUACAGAUAAUUCACAUUAUAGUAAAUUAAUUAAUCAACCUCCCAAUAGGUGGAGGACAUAACAUAUCUAGCCGAGGCUUGCCAGAAACUUGUCGUUAAGUUAGCCGUAAAUGUUUCACUGCAGAACUUGCUAAGCAAUUAUGUUCAGAGUGUGACUAUCAGGGAAAUUGAGCAAAUAUUAACCGUAAAUCUUUGUUUCCAACUUUAGCCGUCAAAUUGUCUGCAAAUUCAGGCAGCAAAUUUCAGGCAAUUUCAAUGUCAAAUUACUGUCAAUUUCAAGCUAAAGUGGAUUAGGGUUAUUACUAGAAUUACCUGGGAAUUUACAUGUACGGACGUCAUUAAAAAUUAAUGGUGUAGUGUGUUUAAACCAUCGGAAUAUUGGCUCCGUGCGCUUACGUAUACUACUAUAGAAGUCAAUGUGUUUGUGUAUACGUAUUAUCCUCCAGAAGUUCCGAUCCUCCUGGUUGGUGGCGCUGUCAUUAUGCAUCUAUACGUCUACACUGAUGAUUUAAUAGUAUUAGUAUUUUCGUGCACGGAGCCAAUAUAUAUAUACGAUAUAGAUAUUUGUCACAAUUUCAUGUUUGAAUUUUUUUUAUGAGUAUUGAAUUUAUUAUAAAUAAAUUUGAAAUUUCUUCACAAUUAAAAUAUACUAUUAAUCAUCACUAUUGAAUUGUUUUUAAAUUCAUGUAAU